GCCGCGGAUGCUCAAUCAGGUAGAGCGCUUGCCUGAAAAGCAAGUGUCUGCUCAAGACAUGCGGGUUCAAAUCCCGUCCGCGGCG
This 85-nucleotide transfer RNA is filed under the name Candidatus Woesearchaeota archaeon. RNAcentral describes it as "tRNA-Phe". It matches the Rfam family "tRNA". From Rfam's summary of the family: Transfer RNA (tRNA) molecules are approximately 80 nucleotides in length. The record is from RNAcentral. Lineage: Archaea; Nanobdellati; Candidatus Woesearchaeota.